AUGGAUGACAUCAAGCUGUACGCCAAGAAUGAGCGAGACAUCGACUCACUAAUCCACACCACCAGGAUCUAUAGCUCGGACAUUGGGAUGUCAUUCGGACUCGAGAAAUGUGGGAGGAUGGUGACAAAGAGAGGCAAGGUUAUCCACACAGAAGGGGUCUCACUCCCAGAAGGAACAAUAGCAGACAUUGAGAACAGUUACAAGUACCUUGGAAUACCACAGGCAAACGGCAACCUUGAACAGGCAACAAGGAAUGCGGCAACAGCCAAAUACCUCCAACGAGUAAGGCAAGUCCUAAGAAGCCAGCUCAAUGGCAAGAACAAAUCCCGGGCAAUAAACAGCUACGCUCUGCCAGUGAUCAGAUACCCUGCGGGAAUAAUAAGGUGGCCAAAGGAAGAGAUACAGACCACAGAUGUUAAGACACGAAAGCUCCUCACCAUGCAUGGAGGGUUCCACCCCAAAUCCAGCACCCUGAGACUGUACGCUAGCCGCAAGGAAGGAGGCCGAGGACUAGUGAGUGUGAGAGCUACUAUCCAGGAUGAAACAUCCAAGAUCCAUAAGUACAUCAAGGAUAAGGCCCCGACAGAUGACGUGCUGAGUGAAUGUCUCAGGCAGUGGGGAACAGAGGAUGAGAUGCUGGAAGAGGGACAAUCAUGGGAGGACAAGCCCUUGCACGGGAUGUACCACCGCAACAUAACUGAAGUGGCUGAUCUCAACAAAUCCUACCAAUGGCUUGAAAGGGCUGGGCUGAAGGACAGCACAGAGGCACUCAUCCUGGCUGCACAGGAGCAGGCCCUGAGCACCAGAGCCAUAGAGGCCCAGAUCUACCACACCAGACAAGACCCAAGGUGUAGACUGUGCAAAGAGGCCCCUGAGACGGUCCAGCACAUAACUGCAGGGUGUAAGAUGCUGGCAGGGAAAGCAUACAUGGAACGCCAUAACCAAGUGGCUGGCAUAGUAUACAGGAACAUCUGCUCAGAGUAUGGACUGGAAACCCCAAGGUCAAAGUGGGAAACACCUCCCAAGGUGGUAGAGAACGAGCGAGCCAAGAUCCUGUGGGACUUCCAGAUCCAGACUGACAGAAUGGUAAUGGCGAACCAACCAGACAUUGUGGUGGUGGACAAAGAGCAGAGGAAAGCCGUAGUGGUGGAUGUGGCAAUACCAAGCGAUGGCAACAUCAGGAAAAAGGAACAUGAGAAACUAGAGAAAUACCAAGGGCUCAGAGAAGAACUGGAGAAGGCUUGGAAGGUGAAGGCCACAGUGGUGCCUGUGGUGAUCGGAGCACUAGGGGCUGUGACCCCCAAACUGGAGGAGUGGCUACAACAGAUCCCUGGAAAAACAUCCGAAAUCUCAGUCCAGAAAAGUGCAGUCCUAGGAACAGCAAGGAUACUGCGCAGAACCCUCAAGCUCCCUGGCCUCUGGUAG
Molecule: long non-coding RNA, 1425 nt
Filed under: Betta splendens (Siamese fighting fish)
Lineage: Eukaryota; Metazoa; Chordata; Actinopteri; Anabantiformes; Osphronemidae
Description: lncRNA (ENSBSLG00000003787.1)
Source: RNAcentral